CCUCCUCGCCCUCCAGGCCGCCCGCGCCGCGCCGGAGUCCGCUGUCCGCCAGCUACCCGCUUCCUGCUUCCCGCCGCUGCCAUGCUGCCCGCCGCGCUGCUCCGCCGCCCGGGACUUGGCCGCCUCGUCCGCCACGCCCGUGCCUAUGCCGAGGCCGCCGCCGCCCCGGCUGCCGCCUCUGGCCCCAACCAGAUGUCCUUCACCUUCGCCUCUCCCACGCAGGUUCGGGCGCUGCGGGUCGAGACCCUCCGUGACCGCCGCCCCCGGAGUCCAGGGUCCCCACCCCCAGGGCGCGACCCCCGCUUCCGGGCCCCCGGACCCGUGCGCCCCGGAAGCCGAGGCCACUCAGCCCUGGACCCCCGGCCCUGCCUCUGCUGCCCGAGCCCUGCGCUGCCCUCGUCUCGGGCACCUCCCCGAGAUAAGCGUCUCCUGGGUGUCCUCCCCGAUCUCCCUGGCCAAAGCCUGGGUGUCGCCGGAUCGCUGCAUUCCCAUUUCGCGGAUCAGUAGAAUGAGGCGCAACUGUUGAGGACCAAAGCUGCAACCUCGGAUCCCUGCGCUGGGUUGUCUCAGUGCCUCACAUCAGCGCCAGGUCCUGCCCUGACCCAUUUUUUAGCAGGACAGGCCGAGUCCCCGGUGGGCGCGGGGCCGGCCUGCCCCGCCAUCAUUCCCCACGCUGUUGUCUGCAGGUGUUCUUCAACGGUGCCAACGUCCGGCAGGUGGACGUGCCCACGCUGACCGGAGCCUUCGGCAUCCUGGCGGCCCACGUGCCCACGCUGCAGGUCCUGCGGCCGGGGCUGGUGGUGGUGCAUGCAGAGGACGGCACCACCUCCAAAUACUUUGUGAGCAGCGGUUCCAUCGCAGUGAACGCCGACUCUUCAGUGCAGUUGUUGGCCGAAGAGGCCGUGACGCUGGACAUGUUGGACCUGGGGGCAGCCAAGGCGAACUUGGAGAAGGCCCAAGCGGAGCUGUUGGGGACGGCUGACGAGGCCACGCGAGCAGAGAUCCAGAUCCGAAUCGAGGCCAACGAGGCCCUGGUGAAGGCCCUGGAGUAGGCGAGCCAGCCGCCAAGGUUGACCUCAGCUUCGGAGCCACCUCUGGAUGAACUGCCCCCAGCCCCUGCGCCAUUAAAGACCGGGAAGCCUGA
Molecule: small RNA, 1144 nt
Filed under: Pongo abelii (Sumatran orangutan)
Lineage: Eukaryota; Metazoa; Chordata; Mammalia; Primates; Hominidae
Description: retained intron
Source: RNAcentral